Long non-coding RNA from Gambusia affinis (western mosquitofish), 372 nucleotides. RefSeq lists it as uncharacterized. The record is from RefSeq and is a predicted model, not a curated record. NCBI's taxonomy places the organism in Eukaryota, Metazoa, Chordata, Actinopteri, Cyprinodontiformes, Poeciliidae. The transcript is spliced from 3 exons.
GCGAGCGCGACAAGCUGUCGACGGGAGCCUGGAGGAGCCACCUGUUCGGGUUCCCGCUGACAGCUGGGAUGGACCGAUAUAGGCGGACGGCUUGGCGUCGAGCAGACAAAGAGGAGAAGCGAAGGCGGCGGUGAGGGAGUGUUCCUCGUCUUGGCGGUUGCCGCUGACGUAUGGAUUCAGCUGGGGAUCCGUCCUGCCAUCCUGAGCCGGAGACAGAGCAGCAGGGGCCUGGCACUUCCUUUAGGGUGGAGUGCAGAUCCCAUCACGCUCCCAGGCUUUGCUGCCUUCCCUUCCUGGAAUGAGACUGGAUCCAGGGACCCAUAUCUGGGACAGCUGGCCGCAGAAUGUCUCCGUGAUUCUAGAGAACCCGUC